RNAcentral lists this transfer RNA (65 nucleotides) under Ictidomys tridecemlineatus (thirteen-lined ground squirrel). Its description in RNAcentral is "Spermophilus tridecemlineatus (thirteen-lined ground squirrel) tRNA". It matches the Rfam family "tRNA". Rfam says of the family: Transfer RNA (tRNA) molecules are approximately 80 nucleotides in length. The record is from Rfam by way of RNAcentral. Lineage: Eukaryota; Metazoa; Chordata; Mammalia; Rodentia; Sciuridae.
GGUGUGGCUCAGUGGCAGAGCGCUUGCCUAGCACGUAGGAGACGCUGGGUUUAAUCCUCAGCACC